This 418-nucleotide ribosomal RNA is filed under the name uncultured prokaryote. Its description in RNAcentral is "bacterial SSU rRNA". It matches the Rfam family "Archaeal small subunit ribosomal RNA", at positions 455 to 873 of the family's 1478-position model. The record is from RNAcentral.
GUGUCAGCAGCCGCGGUAAUACCAGCUCUCCGAGUGGUGGGGAUGAUUAUUGGGCCUAAAGCAUCCGUAGCCGGCUGGACAAGUCCCCUGUUAAAUCCAACGAUCCAAUCGUUGGUCUGCGGGGGAUACUGUCCGGCUUGGGGGCGGGAGAGGCCGCCGGUAUUUCCGGGGUAGGGGUGAAAUCCUAUAAUCCCGGGAGGACCACCAGUGGCGAAGGCUGUCGGCUAGAACGCGCCCGACGGUGAGGGAUGAAAGCUGGGGGAGCGAACCGGAUUAGAUACCCGGGUAGUCCCAGCUGUAAACGAUGCAGGCUAGGUGUUAGGGCGGCUACGUGCCGCUCUAGUGCCGCAGGGAAGCCGUUAAGCCUGCCGCCUGGGGAGUACGGUCGCAAGGCUGAAACUCAAAUGAAUUGGCGGGG